This 523-nucleotide ribosomal RNA is filed under the name uncultured bacterium. RNAcentral's name for it is "bacterial SSU rRNA". It matches the Rfam family "Bacterial small subunit ribosomal RNA", at positions 355 to 896 of the family's 1533-position model. The record is from RNAcentral.
UAGGGAAUUGUUCGCAAUGGGCGCAAGCCUGACGACGCAACGCCGCGUGGAGGAUGAAGCCCCUUGGGGCGUAAACUCUUUUCGACCAAGACGAUAAUGACGGUACUGGUGGAAGAAGCACCGGCUAGCUCUGUGCCAGCAGCCGCGGUAAUACAGAGGGUGCGAGCGUUGUUCGGAAUUAUUGGGCGUAAAGGGCGCGUAGGCGGUGCCACAAGUCACUUGUGAAAUCUCCGGGCUUAACUCGGAGCCUGCAGGCGAAACUGUGGUGCUGGAGUGUGGGAGAGGAAAGUGGAAUUCCUGGUGUAGCGGUGAAAUGCGUAGAUAUCAGGAGGAACACCGGUGGUGUAAACGGCUUUCUGGACCAUAACUGGCGCUGAGGCACGAAAGCGUGGGUAGCAAACAGGAUUAGAUACCCUGGUAGUCCACGCCCUAAACGAUGCAUAUUUGGUGUGGGUCAUUCAGUUGAUCUGUGCCGGAGCUAACGCGUUAAAUAUGCCGCCUGGGGAGUACAGUCGCAAGGCUG